RNAcentral lists this transfer RNA (73 nucleotides) under Otolemur garnettii (small-eared galago). It matches the Rfam family "tRNA". Rfam says of the family: Transfer RNA (tRNA) molecules are approximately 80 nucleotides in length. Their secondary structure includes four short double-helical elements and three loops (D, anti-codon, and T loops). Further hydrogen bonds mediate the characteristic L-shaped molecular structure. tRNAs have two regions of fundamental functional importance: the anti-codon, which is responsible for specific mRNA codon recognition, and the 3' end, to which the tRNAs corresponding amino acid is attached (by aminoacyl-tRNA synthetases). tRNAs cope with the degeneracy of the genetic code in two manners: having more than one tRNA (with a specific anti-codon) for a particular amino acid; and 'wobble' base-pairing, i.e. permitting non-standard base-pairing at the 3rd anti-codon position. Lineage: Eukaryota; Metazoa; Chordata; Mammalia; Primates; Galagidae. The record is from Rfam by way of RNAcentral.
GCCCCUGUAGCUCAGCGGCUAGGGCACCAGCCACAUACACUGGAGCCCGUGGGUUCGAACCCAACCUGGGCCC